This 465-nucleotide ribosomal RNA is filed under the name uncultured Lysobacteraceae bacterium. RNAcentral's name for it is "bacterial SSU rRNA". It matches the Rfam family "Bacterial small subunit ribosomal RNA", at positions 338 to 795 of the family's 1533-position model. The record is from RNAcentral. Lineage: Bacteria; Pseudomonadati; Pseudomonadota; Gammaproteobacteria; Lysobacterales; Lysobacteraceae.
CCUACGGGCGGCUGCAGUGGGGAAUAUUGGACAAUGGGCGCAAGCCUGAUCCAGCAAUGCCGCGUGUGUGAAGAAGGCCUGCGGGUUGUAAAGCACUUUUGUUCGGGAAGAAAUCAUGCUGGUUAAUACCUGGUAUGGAUGACGGUACCGAAAGAAUAAGCACCGGCUAACUUCGUGCCAGCAGCCGCGGUAAUACGAAGGGUGCAAGCGUUAAUCGGAAUUACUGGGCGUAAAGGGUGCGUAGGCGGCCUUUUAAGUCGGAUGUGAAAUCCCCGGGCUCAACCUGGGAAUGGCAUUCGAUACUGGGAGGCUAGAGUUUGGGAGAGGAUGGUGGAAUUCCCGGUGUAGCGGUGAAAUGCGUAGAGAUCGGGAGGAACAUCAGUGGCGAAGGCGGCCACCUGGCCUAAAACUGACGCUGAGGCACGAAAGCGUGGGGAGCAAACAGGAUUAGAUACCCCAGUAGUC